RNAcentral lists this ribosomal RNA (446 nucleotides) under uncultured bacterium. RNAcentral describes it as "partial 16S ribosomal RNA". It matches the Rfam family "Bacterial small subunit ribosomal RNA", at positions 338 to 795 of the family's 1533-position model. The record is from RNAcentral.
CCUACGGGUGGCAGCAGUCGAGAAUCAUUCACAAUGGGGGAAACCCUGAUGGGGCGACGCCGCGUGGGGGAAUGAAGGUCUUCGGAUUGUAAACCCCUGUCAUGUGGGAGCAAAUUAAAAAGAUAGUACCACAAGAGGAAGAGACGGCUAACUCUGUGCCAGCAGCCGCGGUAAUACAGAGGUCUCAAGCGUUGUUCGGAAUCACUGGGCGUAAGGCGUGCGUAGGCUGUUUCGUAAGUCGGGUGUGAAAGGCGCGGGCUCAACCCGCGGACGGCACAUGAUACUGCGAGACUAGAGUAAUGGAGGGGGAACCGGAAUUCUCGGUGUAGCAGUGAAAUGCGUAGAUAUCGAGAGGAACACUCGUGGCGAAGGCGGGUUCCUGGACAUUAACUGACGCUGAGGCACGAAGGCCAGGGGAGCGAAAGGGAUUAGAUACCCCAGUAGUC